AGAGAGAAGAAAGGGUGAGGGAAGGGAAGAGAGAAGAGGAGGAACAGAGAGAGGAAAGAGUGAGGGAAGGGAAGAGAGAAGAGGAGGAACAGAGAGAGGAAAGAGGAAGGGAAGAGAGAAGCGGAGGAACAGAGAGAAGAAAGGGUGAGGGAAGGGCUAAAGAUUUAAGAGCAGAAGAAGGUAAAACUACAACCCACCUCCAAGCCUCGACUUGGCCCACAACCCCAAAAACAUAACACCUCCACCGGUACGUAUAGGAAAGCAGAUAUUCCAUUACGCUCUAUUGAGGAAGCCUCAAUCAUCUUUAAAGGAGGGCCGAACUUCCUGAUUUGUCCUCGUUUUUCAGCAGGUUCAUUAAGAAAUGCAGCGGCCAUGAUUGAAGCCAAAUAAGAGUUGUCUUGGGGGGGGGUGUGGUUUAGCGUGGGUGUCUCGUGUGUGCUCGCACGUGGCAAGUGUUUGCACAUUCACUCUGCCAAAACAGUACACAGUUACAGUCACUCAUCCUUCUAGAUAACUUGAAAUGUCUAACCAGGUCUUCAGCCAGAUGGUGUGAAACUGAGGCAAAGUUCGUCAGGAUUGAGAUAAACCCAACAUGAGGAAAACUAUUACGGUACCCUUAACUCUGUGACAUACCAUGUUUUCCAAUCAACUCGCAAAUCUCAGUUUUGGAUGAGACUGACUUCAUGACCAAAAUUAUCCUUCUGACACUUUGUAGUACAUUUUGACACUCAAGUGACGGAUUUGACCUAAUGAGUCGAAACCCACAACUAAGAGAAGUUUAAACAGAGAGAGGGGAAGUGGAGAUUCCAAAAUGUGGAAAUCGUGCCAGAACUAAGAACAUGAUGAAAGUAGGGGCACUCCGCAGAGGGAAAAACACACAGCACCGACAGUAGGAAAAGAGGGAGGGCCUGAAGGAAGAUCGAGGGAAAGCGAAAGAGUGGGAGAAUAACAGCAAGAGAGAAAGAAACAGCAGGAGUGAACGAGAGGGAGAGAUUUCUUUUAAUUUUUAUCAGGAUGAAGUUGUUACACCGGUUUAAAAUGUCUGGCAGUCAAGGUGCCCUGAAAAGAGACCAAUAUGCACGCGCACACACACACACACAGGAGACCAACAACAAGCGCCCAACACGCACGCACACACACGCGCGAGAGACCAAAAUGCACACACAUACACACAGGAGACCAACAACAAACGUUUAUCUCAAUCCCGCACACACACACACACACACACACACACGAGACCAACACGCGCACACACACACACACACACAACCAACACGUGCACACACACAACCAACGCGCACACACACAACCAACGCGCACACACACACAACCAACGUGCACAUGCACAUGACCAUGACCAUGACAUGCGCAUGCACACACACACACGGCCAUCACGCGCCCGCACACACACGGCCAUCACGCGCCCGCACACACACGGCCAUCACGCGCCCGCACACACACGGCCAUCACGCGCCCGCACACACACGGCCAUCUCUCGCCCGCACACACACGGCCAUCACUCGCCCGCACACACACGGCCAUCACUCGCCCGCACACACACGGCCAUCACUCGCCCGCACACACACGGCCAUCACUCGCCCGCACACACACGGCCAUCACUCGCCCGCACACACACGGCCAUCACUCGCCCGCGCGCACACACAAACACGACCAACAUGCUAGACCAACACGCACACACAAACAACACGCGCGCACGAUCAUCCUGCACACGCACUA
Long non-coding RNA from Oncorhynchus tshawytscha (Chinook salmon), 1737 nucleotides. Lineage: Eukaryota; Metazoa; Chordata; Actinopteri; Salmoniformes; Salmonidae. The record is from Ensembl.